This 497-nucleotide ribosomal RNA is filed under the name uncultured bacterium. RNAcentral's name for it is "partial 16S ribosomal RNA". It matches the Rfam family "Bacterial small subunit ribosomal RNA", at positions 28 to 507 of the family's 1533-position model. The record is from RNAcentral.
GACGAACGCUGGCGGCGUGCCUAAUACAUGCCAGUAGAACGCUGAAGAGAGGAGCUUGCUCUUCUUGGAUGAGUUGCGAACGGGUGAGUAACGCGUAGGUAACCUGCCUUGUAGCGGGGGAUAACUAUUGGAAACGAUAGCUAAUACCGCAUAACAAUGGAUGACACAUGUCAUUUAUUUGAAAGGGGCAAUUGCUCCACUACAAGAUGGACCUGCGUUGUAUUAGCUAGUAGGUGAGGUAAUGGCUCACCUAGGCGACGAUACAUAGCCGACCUGAGAGGGUGAUCGGCCAAACUGGGACUGAGACACGGCCCAGACUCCUACGGGAGGCAGCAGUAGGGAAUCUUCGGCAAUGGGGGCAACCCUGACCGAGCAACGCCGCGUGAGUGAAGAAGGUUUUCGGAUCGUAAAGCUCUGUUGUAAGUCAAGAACGGGUGUGAGAGUGGAAAGUUCACACUGUGACGGUAGCUUAACAGAAAGGGACGGCUAACUACGUG